UACGGAGGGUGCAAGCGUUAUCCGGAUUCACUGGGUUUAAAGGGUGCGUAGGUGGGCAGUUAAGUCAGUGGUGAAACCUCCGGGCUCAACCCGGAAACUGCCAUUGAUACUAUCUGUCUUGAAUAUCGUGGAGGUAAGCGGAAUAUGUCAUGUAGCGGUGAAAUGCUUAGAUAUGACAUAGAACACCAAUUGCGAAGGCAGCUUACUACCCGAAUAUUGACACUGAGGCACGAAAGCGUGGGGAGCAAACAGG
Molecule: ribosomal RNA, 253 nt
Filed under: uncultured bacterium
Lineage: Bacteria
Description: partial 16S ribosomal RNA
Rfam family: Bacterial small subunit ribosomal RNA
Source: RNAcentral